GGAAACUAUUUGAUUUGCCCGUUGCCGGUUAUUUUGUCUUUUUAUGACACCCACAUGUUUUUCCAUGGCGUCAAGUCUUCGUCGCGGCUCCAUUCUCGGCGUCACGAAUUGGUGUGAUAGAUUUCAGCCACUGAUGUCGCUUCUUCCUCUUCGCCAUGCUCUCAUCUCCAAGCCGUGGUCUCCGCCAUCGCCAUCGUCAGAAUCAGCCUCAGAUUACGCAAAGAGAAAGCUCGUUGUUUUCAAUGGUGGAUUUUAAAAUAUUUUCCAUACAGGUCCCUGAACUUCUACUUCUUUAUAAAACAGCCCAGGAUUUUCUAAAGUGCAGAAACAUCCAUAAUUUAGCCCCUUAGCUUUUAAUUGUGACAAUAUAGACCCGCGUGUAGUCUGUCUUUUGCACCAUUGAUCCCUGUAUUUUCUUCUUAUAUCGUCUUGGCCCCAGCUGUUUCUGAUUUGCAGAAAUAACCUUCUAAUGUCGCCUAAAACUUUUAAUUGGACACUCCAAACCCUUAUGCACAUAAAUAGACAAAUAUAUGCAAUUUAGACACCUAGAUGCAAUCUAAAGUGAUUAAAAAGAAAUAAUUGAGAUGCUAAAUAACAUUAAAUACACUAUAAUAUAUUAAUCGGACCAUAAACUCAAAUCGUAUACCCUAAAUCCAAUUACUGCACCCUAAACCCAAUCCAUAUAACCUUAAACAUAAAUCCUAGACCAUAAAUCCAAACAGUAAACCAUAAACCAAAAUCAUAUACUCUAAACCGAAAUCCUAGACCCAAAACCCAAACCGUAUAUCGUAAACCCAAAUCUUACACCAUAAACCCAAACCUUAAACUCUAAACCUAAACCCUAUACCGUAAAUUUAAAUCUUAGACUAUAAACUCAAACCGUAAACUUUAAACUCGAACCCUCCCAAAUCUUAAACUCUAAACCCAAAUACUAGACCCUAAACCCAAACCGUAUAACCUUAAACCUAAUCGUAGACCAUAAACCCAAACUGUAAACCGUAAACCCAAAUCAUAUACCAUAAAUUUAAAUCCUAGAUCCUAAACCCAAACCGUAUACCGUAAAACAAAUCCUACACCAUAAACCCAAACCGUAAACUCUAAUCUCAAACCCUAUACCCUAAACGUAAAUUCUAUACCCUCAAUCCAAACUGUGAACUUUAAACCCAAACCUAUAGCGGCUAGGUUUCGGAGUUCGAUUUAGGGUUUGGGUCUAAGAUUUAAAUUUAGGGUAUUCCAAAUUUAAUAUCUGAUUAACAUUCACGUUGUGCACAAAAUAAGAUUAAGACUGACAGAUACGUAUUACGCCAACUCGUAUAACCAUAUUCAUUUCGAACACUAAAAAUGUGAUAUUUUGUAUCUGACAAGCUUCCAUCUAUAUACUUGGAAAUCGUAAAGGUGAGUGAUAUGUUGUGUUCACUAUAUAUAACGGUAAUAAAUUAUGAAAAUUUUUGUCGUGUAACCGAAUGUAUAAUAUAUUAACCAGAUUUAUUUCGAUUCUAAUUAUGUGAAAUCCGGAGCCCUUAUGCACAUAAAUGGACAAAUAUAUGCAAUGUAGACACCUAGAUACAAUCUAAAGUGAUUAAAAAGAACUAAUUGAGAUGCUAAAUAACAUUAAAUACACUAUAAUAUAUUAAUCGAACCAUAAAACCAAAUCGUAUACCCUAAAUCCAAUUACUACACCCUAAACCCAACCUGUAUAACCUUAAACAUAAAUCCUAGACUAUAAAUCCAAACAGUAAACCAUAAACCAAAAUCAUAUACUCUAAACCAAAAUCCCAGACCCAAAAUCCAAUCCGUAUACCGUAAACCCAAAUCUUACACCAUAAACCCGAACCGUAAACUCUAAACCUAAACCCUAUACCGUAAAUUUAAAUCGUAAACCAUAAACCCAAACCAUAAACUUUAAACUCAAACCCUCCCAAGUCUUAAACUCUAAACCCAAAUACUAGACCUUAAACCCAAACCGUAUAACCUUAAACCUAAAUCCUAGACCAUAAACCCAAACUGUAAACCGUA
Molecule: long non-coding RNA, 2016 nt
Filed under: Brassica napus (rape)
Lineage: Eukaryota; Viridiplantae; Streptophyta; Magnoliopsida; Brassicales; Brassicaceae
Description: long non-coding RNA (BNAP_LNC017287)
Source: RNAcentral